AGUGAACGCUGGCGGUAGGCCUAACACAUGCAGGUCGAACGGCAGCACAGUAAGAGCUUGCUCUUACGGGUGGCGAGUGGCGGACGGGUGAGGAAUACAUCGGAAUCUACUUUUUCGUGGGGGAUAACGUAGGGAAACUUACGCUAAUACCGCAUACGACCUACGGGUGAAAGCAGGGGAUCUUCGGACCUUGCGCGAUUGAAUGAGCCGAUGUCGGAUUAGCUAGUUGGCGGGGUAAAGGCCCACCAAGGCGACGAUCCGUAGCUGGUCUGAGAGGAUGAUCAGCCACACUGAAACUGAGACACGGUCCGGACUCCUACGGGAGGCAGCAGUGGGGAAUAUUGGACAAUGGGCGCAAGCCUGAUCCAGCCAUACCGCGUGGGUGAAGAAGGCCUUCGGGUUGUAAAGCCCUUUUGUUGGGAAAGAAAAGCAGCAGGUUAAUACCCCGCUGUUCUGACGGUACCCAAAGAAUAAGCACCGGCUAACUUCGUG
RNAcentral lists this ribosomal RNA (492 nucleotides) under uncultured bacterium. RNAcentral describes it as "partial 16S ribosomal RNA". It matches the Rfam family "Bacterial small subunit ribosomal RNA", at positions 29 to 507 of the family's 1533-position model. The record is from RNAcentral.